This 301-nucleotide ribosomal RNA is filed under the name uncultured bacterium. Its description in RNAcentral is "partial 16S ribosomal RNA". It matches the Rfam family "Bacterial small subunit ribosomal RNA", at positions 509 to 807 of the family's 1533-position model. The record is from RNAcentral.
CAGUAGCCACGGGAAUACGUAGGUGGCAAGCGUUGUCCGGAAUUAUUGGGCGUAAAGGGCUCGCAGGCGGUUUCUUAAGUCUGAUGUGAAAGCCCCCGGCUCAACCGGGGAGGGUCAUUGGAAACUGGGAAACUUGAGUGCAGAAGAGGAGAGUGGAACUCCACGUGUAGCGGUGAAAUGCGUAGAGAUGUGGAGGAACACCAGUGGCGAAGGCGACUCUCUGGUCUGUAACUGACGCUGAGGAGCGAAAGCGUGGGGAGCGAACAGGAUUAGAUACCCCUGUAGUCCCUGUCUCUUAUAC